Molecule: ribosomal RNA, 264 nt
Filed under: uncultured bacterium
Lineage: Bacteria
Description: partial 16S ribosomal RNA
Source: RNAcentral
CUGCUGCCUCCCGUAGGAGUUUGGGCCGUGUCUCAGUCCCAAUGUGGCCGUCCACCCUCUCAGGCCGGCUACUGAUCGUCGCCUUGGUGGGCCCCUACCCCGCCAACAAGCUAAUCAGACGCGGGUCCAUCUUACACCACCGGAGUUUUUCACACCGGGCCAUGCGGCCCUGUGCGCUUAUGCGGUAUUAGCACCUGUUUCCAGGUGUUAUCCCCCUGUGUAAGGCAGGUUACCCACGCGUUACUCACCCGUCCGCCACUCGAA